Molecule: non-coding RNA, 1109 nt
Organism: Camellia sinensis
Lineage: Eukaryota; Viridiplantae; Streptophyta; Magnoliopsida; Ericales; Theaceae
Source: RefSeq, a predicted model, not a curated record
ACAAACCAAACCAACAAAACACAAAUCAUGCUUGUGUUGCCCAGAGAAGAGAGAGAGAGAAGAAAUCGAAGGAGACGGAGGAGGAAGACCCACCGGUGACUACCGCCACCGUCGACAUCUGCCCGAGGCAGCUAAGCAGCAAACAAGCUCUUGCACUUCUCCCUUCUGCCAGAGUUCUCACACUCCCCUCUCCCAUCGUUCAGGAAAAAAUUUUCUUUGUCUAGAAGAUGCACCAUCAAAAUCACCUCAGAGGAAGCUGCUUGCAUCAAUAUUUUGUGAAUUCAGAACCAUCAGGAAUUUGCCUUCUGUGUUCGUGGCUGUGUUCACCAAGGUCGAGCUCAUGACCAAUAUCUAGUCCCAGUACUUUGUUUACAGAAUCCCUGGUGCCCACUAGUGCCACACGUGACUAACACUCGCGCCCGUGACUAACACUCGAACUCCCUCUCUCUUCAGUUCGCCAUUUUUAAAGCUUCAAGCAUUUCAAGCUUUAGAACCGUCUACUUUUAGGCAAAAAUCUAUCCUUAGUUCUUGAGAUCAAAAGUUGGAGCACAUCGAAAGCAACGUUUUGAGCCGAAUAGAUUGCGUUUUCGUUGUUGUUGACUUUGGGUGUUCAUCCAUUCUCUCUCUACUUUUAGGUUGUGACGAUGUGCCUCCACCUUGUUGAGGAUCAAGUGGAGAUUUUGAUGGAACAUCGAAGCUCAGUUUUGAUGUUUUACUUGUUUGCAACUAUCGAGCUUACUUGUGUGGGAUAGUGUUCAUUUACUUACAAUCAAGGUCCUAACCUUAAAAGAUAAGGCAGAUAAACAAAAGAGGAGCAGUUGAAGGCAAUUAAGGUGAGUGGGCAAUUUUUCCAGGCAGUGGAGAGAGCACACUUGCAUGCAUGGUUGCAGCGGUUGUGUGGCCAAAGCAAGGGAGCAAUGUGAAGGAUUCCGAGAGAGGAGAUCAAUCAUUUAUAUCCGUUCACAAUAAUUGCGCAUUUUAGGAGUAGCAGUAGCUGUUAGAUUUCUUAGGAACAGUUCAUUUGUAACUUAGGUUAUCAGUUACUCUUGUAUUCUUUUCUAUUGUUAUUCUUCUUAUUUGAAAACUUGUAACAAGUAACAAUUUCAGCA